This 703-nucleotide ribosomal RNA is filed under the name Ruthalicia eglandulosa. Its description in RNAcentral is "eukaryotic LSU rRNA". The stretch from base 255 to 410 matches the Rfam family "5.8S ribosomal RNA". Lineage: Eukaryota; Viridiplantae; Streptophyta; Magnoliopsida; Cucurbitales; Cucurbitaceae. The record is from RNAcentral.
GGUUUCCGUAGGUGAACCUGCGGAAGGAUCAUUGUCGAUGCCUAAACAUCAAACGACCCGCGAACGCGUUUACUAACAAACUGUCCGCGCCGGGGGCGGGGGUAAGCAUGCUCUUUGCCUGCCCCCCACCCCUCGGCGCGCCUAAACCAAACCCCGGCGCAGGUCGCGCCAAGGAACUUGAAAUGAAUUCGCCCGCCCCCUGCCCCGGCCUCGGCGUGCGGGGGGUGGAGCAUUCUUGUCGUAUUACUCACAACGACUCUCGGCAACGGAUAUCUCGGCUCUCGCAUCGAUGAAGAACGUAGCGAAAUGCGAUACUUGGUGUGAAUUGCAGGAUCCCGCGAACCACCGAGUCUUUGAACGCAAGUUGCGCCCGGAGCCUUCUGGCCGAGGGCACGUCUGCCUGGGCGUCACGCAUCGCUGCCCCCCACGCAACCCCCCAUGUGGGAUCGUUGCGCAGCCGGGGGCACACGCUGGCCUCCCGUGCGCACCGUCGCGCGGAUGGCUUAAAUUCGAGUCCUCGGCGCACGUCGUCACGACACUACGGUGGUUGAUCCAACCUCGGUACCGCGUCGUGGCCUUGACGCCGCCUCCAUGGACUCCUGCACCGACCCACUGAACGCCGUCCCCAAAGGAUGACGCUCUCGACGCGACCCCAGGUCAGGCGGGACUACCCGCUGAGUUUAAGCAUAUCAAUAAGCGGAGG